UUUGAGAGAGAGUUCAAGAGUACGUGAAACUGCUCAGGGGCAAACGGGUGGGCCCUCGAAGUCCUCGCAGGAGGGGGAUUCAGUCGCCCGGUGCGGGGGGGCGCUUCCGUCGGGGAUCUCUGGGUGAGACCCUGCGGUCGCGCCGUUUCCGGGCCGGGAGACGCACUUCCCCCUCCCAACAUUGGACGCCGCAGCCUCUCGGGUUUCGGUGGCGAGGAUCAGCGAAAAGGCAGGUGGCGUGGGCGGAUCUCCGAUCCGCCCCGUGUCUGGCCUAGCGGUCUGGGCGCGAUACCCGAGAGAGGGAAGAUACCAACUUUGGUCGUUGCCGAUGCCUGCGCUUCUCGAAAGCUGCAGCGGCGACGGACUCGGGGAACGCCGGGGUGUUCCGCGCGCUUCACCGUGCGGUGUCGCCGGACUCCCGGUACCCGGCGAGACGUCCGAUCAGUGCCGCGGUGCUUGGCAGACGGCUUGCGGCGAGUAGGUCGGUAACCCACCCGUCCCGUCUUGAAACACGGACCAAGGAGUCUAACAUGUGCGCGAGUCAGUGGGACUCGAAAAAGCCCACGGGCGAAGAGAAAUCUAAAAAGGCGGGAUCCGUAUAAAUUCUGAAACACGGAGCGGCGCACCGUCAGCCCGACGUCGUUCCUCCCGAAAGGGGGGCGGCUCGGAGCGAGAGCGCACACGUUGGGACCCGAAAGAUGGUGAACUAUGCCCGGGCAGGUCGAAGCCAGAGGAAACUCUGGUGGAGGACCGCAGCGGUCUGACG
This 766-nucleotide ribosomal RNA is filed under the name Pholcus dade. Its description in RNAcentral is "eukaryotic LSU rRNA". It matches the Rfam family "Eukaryotic large subunit ribosomal RNA", at positions 376 to 891 of the family's 3401-position model. Lineage: Eukaryota; Metazoa; Arthropoda; Arachnida; Araneae; Pholcidae. The record is from RNAcentral.